RNAcentral lists this transfer RNA (70 nucleotides) under Aethaloperca rogaa. Its description in RNAcentral is "tRNA-Ile". It matches the Rfam family "tRNA". From Rfam's summary of the family: Transfer RNA (tRNA) molecules are approximately 80 nucleotides in length. Their secondary structure includes four short double-helical elements and three loops (D, anti-codon, and T loops). Lineage: Eukaryota; Metazoa; Chordata; Actinopteri; Perciformes; Serranidae. The record is from RNAcentral.
GGAUCUGUGCCUGAAGUAAAGGAUCACUUUGAUAGAGUGAAUAAUGUGGGUUAAAUCCCCUCCAGCUCCU